AAUAAUAGCUGGUGUUUGUCGAAAAAACGACUAGACUUUGAUGUUGCCUCCUAUCGUCGCUGGUAAUCGAAGAACCGGUGUUGUGUGAAAGAAACUGCGCCCGGUUUGAGACCCGUUGCUGAGCUGAAAGCCACUGAGUUUCAAAAGAUAGGAGAGCGAAAUUGGCAUUGCUUUCAAAGCACUGAUUUGAUACCGGCGAAGACUGAGCAGACCCUAGCCGUCAUCCGGAAAGAACCAGGACAAGGCGAAGACGGCGAUGGAUGACUCCCGAGAGCCUGGACAACCAGAGUGACAGCGUACUCGACUGAGGCGAAGCAGACAAGUUUGCCUCAUCAAAGAGAAGAAUCCCACUUCAUUAGAGGCUGGACCUGGUUACCAGUUUGGCUGGCUUGCUGCUAUUGCUGCUAUGUAGAAACCAUUAAACAACCUCGCUAAAGAAACGAGCCUUGCCUCUAACAAACUUCUACACAAUCUAUGGCAACUUUUGAGACUCGUGUAUGUUGGGUACGAUACAGACGAAGACCAGCAUCCGUUCUCAGCGUAAACGCUUCGUUUGAUGCUAAUAGUAUCUGUGACAGAAGCGUGAUAGGAUGUUGGUAGAAAUAUUAGCAGCUGAAGCAUAAAAAGCUGCAGAAUAUUCAGUGGAACUUUUUGGGUAGACAGUAGACAGGAAAAGCUCAAGAUGUACAGCAUUUCAAAUGUGGCAUCGUACGUAUUAACGUCAGCUGCACAUUUACGUAUUGCAGAGUCACGAGCGCCACCGGGAUGCUUGAACCCGUGUUUUUUAUAUAUUGCUUGCAGUAUCGCCACAUGAGAGAUACUGAUAUAAAUAUAAAAAUAUGUCUUUUUUUUCCAGUAAAAUAUUACGUAAAGA
Long non-coding RNA from Varroa destructor (honeybee mite), 874 nucleotides. NCBI's taxonomy places the organism in Eukaryota, Metazoa, Arthropoda, Arachnida, Mesostigmata, Varroidae. The record is from RefSeq and is a predicted model, not a curated record.